UCGCCCAUUAAAGUGGUACGCGAGCUGGGUUCAGAACGUCGUGAGACAGUUCGGUCCCUAUCCGUCGCAGGCGUAGGAAAUUUGAGAAGACCUGUCCUUAGUACGAGAGGACCGGGAUGGACGUACCUCUGGUGUACCAGUUGUUCUGCCAAGGGCAUGGCUGGGUAGCUAUGUACGGAAUGGAUAAGCGCUGAAAGCAUCUAAGCGCGAAGCCAACUUCAAGAUAAGAUUUCCCACCGCAAGGGUAAGACCCCAGAAAGACUAUCUGGUUGAUAGGUCGAAGGUGUAAGUGCAGCAAUGUAUUUAGCUUAUCGAUACUAAUAGGUCGAGGACUUGACCAAU
Molecule: ribosomal RNA, 342 nt
Filed under: Clostridioides difficile
Lineage: Bacteria; Bacillati; Bacillota; Clostridia; Peptostreptococcales; Peptostreptococcaceae
Description: partial 23S ribosomal RNA
Rfam family: Bacterial large subunit ribosomal RNA
Source: RNAcentral